RNAcentral lists this ribosomal RNA (404 nucleotides) under uncultured bacterium. RNAcentral's name for it is "partial 16S ribosomal RNA". It matches the Rfam family "Bacterial small subunit ribosomal RNA", at positions 28 to 526 of the family's 1533-position model. The record is from RNAcentral.
GAUGAACGCUGACAGCAUGCUUAACACAUGCAAGUCAACUGUGGCGGACGGGUGAGUAACGCGUAAAGAACUUACCCCACGGAUAGGGACAACAUUUGGAAACGAAUGCUAAUACCUGAUACUGUGAGAGAGCUUUGCGUCCCAUUAGCUAGUUGGCGAGGUAACGGCUCCCCAAGGCGAUGAUGGGUAGCCGGCCUGAGAGGGUGAUCGGCCACAAGGGGACUGAGACACGGCCCUUACUACUACGGGAGGAAGCAGUGGGGAAUAUUGGACAAUGGACCAAAGUCUGAUACAGCAAUUCUGUGUGCACGAUGAAGUUUUCGGAAUGUAAAGUGCUUUAAGUUGGGAAGCGGUACCAACAGAAGAAGUGACGGCUAAAUACGUGCCAGCAGCCGCGGUAAUAC